This is a long non-coding RNA of Gasterosteus aculeatus aculeatus (three-spined stickleback), 848 nucleotides long. The record is from Ensembl. Lineage: Eukaryota; Metazoa; Chordata; Actinopteri; Perciformes; Gasterosteidae.
AGAGGUGUAGCAUUACACGCUGGCUGUCGGAGCAGCGGCUCAGACUCGCACAAAAGAGGUGACGCAGUAAUGUAGGAAGGAAAGAACAGACGGAAGAUGUGAGGAGGAAGAACACUGCGAGACGACGAGAAGGGGACGGGAGGAAAGCAUUAUGGCUGGAAAUAGGAAUGGAGACAGAAUGGUGAUGAGAGCUGUGAUUGAUCAGCUUUUCCAGGAGGAAAUGAGAGGGCAUCUCUCAGAGGCCUGUUAAAACAGCCAGUUGUUCCAGGACAGCCUUUCACGUGACGGGCCAACCUACGUUGCAAACCCAAACGACCGGAGAUAAGAUGUCCGAUGUCCAGAUGACCGCUCGAUGUCUUGUGGUGCAGAGAUGUAUGCCUCGCCCAAGGCUGGACACGUGCACAAAGCCUUCCCUGUUUCAUCAUGUUAUCUUUCAGCUAUAUAUUUUGGCGCUGGAGAAGACCAUAAGAAGCCUUGAAGACUCUGUCUAUGUUGUCAAAUAUUGCUCUUGCUUGCAAGUAUUAUUUAAUAAAUGCCCUGUUUAAUGAUUUUAUAACAGUGUCGAGUAAGACUUUUUCUGAUAUUAUCCUUCCUGCUAAUUCUUGUGUUUUCUCUUGGCAUUGUAAACACCCCUCCUUCUCCUACACCCACCUACACUUCUGUUACCCCCUCUCCUCCCCUUUGUCAUUCUACUUCACCGUCUUUUCUCAGUUCCGCUACCCGACUAGACUCCGUCAACAGCAGUCCUGCGUACUCCACCCCUCUGCGAGUGGUACACGCCCCUGCAGCUCCACGGAUGGUGUUUCGGUGGCCUUGUGUAGCGGUACGCAGCGCGCACUCGACCGCAG